GUGUUCGUUUCGGCAGCACAUAUACUAAAACUGGUACAAUACAGGGAAGAUUGGCAUGGUCCCUGUAAGAGGAUGACAUGCAAAUUUGUGACGUGUUCCAUAAUUUU
This is a small nuclear RNA of Ursus americanus (American black bear), 107 nucleotides long. NCBI's taxonomy places the organism in Eukaryota, Metazoa, Chordata, Mammalia, Carnivora, Ursidae. The record is from Ensembl.